AGGCUUACAUGCAAGUCGAGCGCCCCGCAAGGGGAGCGGCAGACGGGUGAGUAACGCGUGGGAACGUACCCUUUACUACGGAAUAACGCAGGGAAACUUGUGCUAAUACCGUAUGUGCCCUUCGGGGGGGGAAAGAUUUAUCGCCGAAAGAUCGGCCCGCGUCUGAUUAGCUAGUUGGUGAGGUAACGGUUCACCAAGGCGACGAUCAGUAGCUGGUCUGAGAGGAUGAUCAGCCACAUUGGGACUGAGACACGGUCCAAACUCCUACGGGAGGCAGCAGUGGGGAAUAUUGGACAAUGGGCGCAAGCCUGAUCCAGCCAUGCCGCGUGAGUGAUGAAGG
This 340-nucleotide ribosomal RNA is filed under the name Rhizobium sp. PRF148. RNAcentral's name for it is "bacterial SSU rRNA". It matches the Rfam family "Bacterial small subunit ribosomal RNA", at positions 44 to 414 of the family's 1533-position model. The record is from RNAcentral. Lineage: Bacteria; Pseudomonadati; Pseudomonadota; Alphaproteobacteria; Hyphomicrobiales; Rhizobiaceae.